RNAcentral lists this long non-coding RNA (1076 nucleotides) under Manacus vitellinus (golden-collared manakin). RNAcentral describes it as "lncRNA (ENSMVIG00005004453.1)". The record is from RNAcentral. Lineage: Eukaryota; Metazoa; Chordata; Aves; Passeriformes; Pipridae.
UCCUUCUCCUUCUCCUUCUCCUUCUCCUUCUCCUUCUCCUUCUCCUUCUCCUUCUCCUUCUCCUUCUCCUUCUCCUUCUUCUCCUUCUCCUUCUCCUUCUCCUUCUCCUUCUCCUUCUCCUUCUCCUGUUCCAGGUCCUUCCCAGAUCCCGUGGCCUCACCGUUCUGGCCUGGCUUUGGUGGUUCAUCCCUCUGUGUGCUCUGAGGGGCCAGGUCAGCCCCAAGGCCCUGGGCCUCGGCCCUGGUGACGAUGGUGGUGAGGAUGUCGAUCAUCUCCGCCGUGGUGACCGUGCCCGCCUUGUACCUGCGCAGGAGGUCCUGGCGCCGGUGGUCGGGGACGUAGCGGGAGAAGAGGAGCUCCCAGAGGGUGACGCUCUGGCCCUGGAAGAGCCCCACGCCGAGGGUGGUGCGGGCGGCCUGCAGGGCUUUGCGGGCGUCCUCGGUGAGCUGGUGGAGCACGGAGCCCUUGUCCAUCAGCUGCAGCAUGAGCAGCCCCGUGUCGGGGUCGGGGACGCAGCGGCGCAGCAGCUGCACGUAGGUCAGGUUCUCGUGGGUGUUGGGGUCGAAGAAGCCCUUGGUGUCGUCAGUGGGGUCGGACAGGACCUGGUUCAUCUCCUGGUCGAAGUAGCCCCGUUUGUAGGCCACCUCCACGGGCAGGCGGUGGCUGUGCACGGGGUCGAUGAUGCCGCCGGUGGCGAUCUGGGCCUCGAGCAGGCGGAUGCCGUGGUCCCUGACGAUCAGCUCCUUCUGCAUGGCCUGGAAGAGGGAGAUCUUGUCGCCCGUGUAGGGGUCGGAGUAGCCCGUCACGGCCCGCUCGGCCGACAGCAGCUUCUCCUGCAGUUCACUGCCCACCAGCCCGGCCGACACGGCCUCGUCCACCGACAGCUUCUGGUUGCUCACGGGGUCCACCAUGAAGCCCGUGGCCGCCUGCGCCUCCAGCAGCACCAGGGCCGUGCCCUGCCUCAGGAUGCCCUUCCACAUGGCCUGGUAGAUGCUCAUCUUCUCCAUCCUGCCGGGGUCGGCCUUGGAGGGCACCAGCACGCCGGCGAUGACGCCCGUGCCGUCCAGGUAGCGCUU